RNAcentral lists this ribosomal RNA (253 nucleotides) under uncultured bacterium. RNAcentral describes it as "partial 16S ribosomal RNA". It matches the Rfam family "Bacterial small subunit ribosomal RNA", at positions 524 to 776 of the family's 1533-position model. The record is from RNAcentral.
UACGUAGGGACCAAGCGUUGUUCGGAUUUACUGGGCGUAAAGGGCGCGUAGGCGGCAAUUCAAGUCAGCUGUGAAAUCUCCGGGCUUAACUCGGAACGGUCAGCUGAUACUGCUUUGCUAGAGUGCAGAAGGGGCAAUCGGAAUUCCUGGUGUAGCGGUGAAAUGCGCAGAUAUCAGGAGGAACACCGGUGGCGAAGGCGGCACUCUGGGCCGGAACUGACGCUGAGGAGCGAAAGCGUGGGGAGCGAACAGG